GUCCCGCGCAGCGCGAUGGCGGCGGAGGAGCCCGGGGAGGGCCCGGGUGGGACCGGAGAGCGCUGGAGGGGGACGGGGACGGCGCUCGGAAGACCCCGAUGACAAACGGCUCCAACCUCGGGGCUCCUGGGGUCCCUCACCUUCUCGGGGGGGACCCCAACCCCUCCUACUGGUACCAGCACAGCUACGGCACCUGUGGCUACCAGAGCCCCUGGGGCUACGGCCACAGCUGAGGGGGGGCUGCACCCCC
Non-coding RNA from Pseudopodoces humilis (Tibetan ground-tit), 250 nucleotides. The record is from RefSeq and is a predicted model, not a curated record. NCBI's taxonomy places the organism in Eukaryota, Metazoa, Chordata, Aves, Passeriformes, Paridae.